UACGUAGGGUGCGAGCGUUGUCCGGAAUUAUUGGGCGUAAAGAGCUUGUAGGCAGUUUGUCGCGUCUGCUGUGAAAAUCGGGGGCUCAACCCCGGACUUGCAGUGGGUACGGGCAGACUAGAGUGUGGUAGGGGAGACUGGAAUUCCUGGUGUAGCGGUGAAAUGCGCAGAUAUCAGGAGGAACACCGGUGGCGAAGGCGGAUCUCUGGGCCAUUACUGACGCUGAGGAGCGAAAGCGUGGGGAGCGAACAGGAUUAGAUACCCGGGUAGU
RNAcentral lists this ribosomal RNA (271 nucleotides) under uncultured prokaryote. RNAcentral's name for it is "partial 16S ribosomal RNA". It matches the Rfam family "Bacterial small subunit ribosomal RNA", at positions 524 to 794 of the family's 1533-position model. The record is from RNAcentral.